This 505-nucleotide ribosomal RNA is filed under the name uncultured bacterium. RNAcentral's name for it is "bacterial SSU rRNA". It matches the Rfam family "Bacterial small subunit ribosomal RNA", at positions 791 to 1301 of the family's 1533-position model. The record is from RNAcentral.
UAGUCCACGCCCUAAACGAUGUUCACUCGAUGUUUGGCCCUUGCGGUUGAGCAUCCAAGCGAAAGCGAUAAGUGAACCACCUGGGGAGUACGUUCGCAAGAAUGAAACUCAAAGGAAUUGACGGGGGCCCGCACAAGCGGUGGAGCAUGUGGCUUAAUUCGAUGCAACGCGAGGAACCUUACCUGGGCUCGAACACUACCGGACAACCUCUGAAAGGGGGCUUCCUUCGGGUCGGUAGUGAGGUGCUGCAUGGCUGUCGUCAGUUCGUGUCGUGAGAUGUUGGGUUAAGUCCCGCAACGAACGCAACCCCUAUCGUUAGUUACCAGCGAGUAAUGUCGGGAACUCUAGCGAGACUGCCUGCGCAAGCAGUGAGGAAGGUGGGGAUGACGUCAAGUCAUCAUGGCCCUUACGCCCAGGGCUGCACACGUGCUACAAUGGACGGUACAACAGGCAGCCACUUCGCAAGAAGGAGCUAAUCCCUAAAGCCGUUCUCAGUUCGGAUCGG